GCCUGGAUGAUCUUCGGUGGUCCGGUGUGCAGGCUUCAAACCUGUAGCUGCUUAACGGCAGAGUGGUUCGAUUCCACCUUCUAGGCG
This 87-nucleotide transfer RNA is filed under the name Caligus rogercresseyi. RNAcentral describes it as "tRNA-Sec". It matches the Rfam family "Selenocysteine transfer RNA". Lineage: Eukaryota; Metazoa; Arthropoda; Copepoda; Siphonostomatoida; Caligidae. The record is from RNAcentral.